AUACGGAGGGUGCAAGCGUUACUCGGAAUCACCGGGCGUAAAGCGCGCGCAGGCGGCUAUUUAAGUUGGAUGUGAAAGCCUACGGCUCAACCGUAGAACUGCAUCCAAAACUAUUUAGCUAGAGUGUGGGAGAGGAAGAUGGAAUUAGUUGUGUAGGGGUAAAAUCCGUAGAGAUAACUAGGAAUACCAAAAGCGAAGGCAAUCUUCUGGAACACUACUGACGCUGAGGCGCGAAAGCGUGGGGAGCAAACGGGAUUAGAUACCCGAGUAGUCC
Molecule: ribosomal RNA, 274 nt
Filed under: uncultured bacterium
Lineage: Bacteria
Description: partial 16S ribosomal RNA
Rfam family: Bacterial small subunit ribosomal RNA
Source: RNAcentral